CCAACAUCUAGCUGUUGUAUUGCAUAGAAACAUAUUGAUCUCUCUAUGAUCCAAAACCAUGCAAGUGAAAAACAAACUUAGAAAAUAGCAUUAUCGAACUUAACUGGACCAUUAUCGAUUUCAUGGUGCUCCUCCUGUAAUUGUAACCAAAUGCCAUAUAGUUACUAAUUCAAUUUAUAAUACAUGAAAUACAAAAAGAGUAUUUUCAAGAAAAUAGAUAAAGUGGUUUCAACAUGCACAGAAACUAUACUUAGUGUAGUUAUUUUAGUCAUAACAUAAUAGAAGGGAAUAGUUAAGAAAAAACAUUAAAAGUUGAACAAAUUUAAGUUAGGGUGAGAUAGAAAUUUUGUUACCAGAAUUUAAUCAAAGAAAUUACGGUCGUUAACAUGAUCGUCGACAAAGCUAUCGAGAUAUCUUCAACCUUUUUACUCAUAGUGGUAAUGUUUUGCUCUUAUGGUUGGUACUUGGUAUCUCAACCUCCUAUGUUCCUUGAUCGGUUGAAAAGAGAAAGGAAAAUACAAAAGAUAAAGGAGUUUAGAUGUGAAAUACUAUGAGUUAGAUCUGAUGACAUUUCUUAUGAGUUUUUUU
This 588-nucleotide long non-coding RNA is filed under the name Trifolium pratense (red clover). RNAcentral's name for it is "long non-coding RNA (TPRA_LNC013143)". The record is from RNAcentral. Lineage: Eukaryota; Viridiplantae; Streptophyta; Magnoliopsida; Fabales; Fabaceae.